CUCAGGGCUCUUUGUCACGGGAGACAAGAGCCCCUGGCCCCUCACAUUUUAACCAAUUCGGUGUCUUUGUGUUUCAUUUUCAUCGAGCCUUGGUCCAGGUACAAGCCCAUGGGUUGGACCCCUACAACCAGCUCUUCCCCUUCUAGGUGUCUUCCCUAGAGUUAACGAUACCACAUGGCAGUGGCCAUGCACACCCUUGUUUAUAGAAGCACAGUUCCUAACAGCCAAAUCCUGGAGGCAGCCUACAUAUUGAUCAACGAUCAACAGGUGAAUGGAUAAAGAAAACAGGAUAUUUAUACACAAUGGAGUACUACUCUGCCAUAAAGAAGAAUAAACGAGUGGGGUGUUGGAACCCGGAAGUACCUUGAGACCACAAUGGUAAAUGAAAUCAAUCAGACACAGAAAUUUGCUAUUACAAACCCAAGAGUCAGGUCUUGGAACUCACACUGGUGUCAGCCGGGCUCGCCGUCCUGGGCUGGGUUCCCGCAGAUCCUGCUGUCAUU
Molecule: long non-coding RNA, 503 nt
Filed under: Cavia porcellus (domestic guinea pig)
Lineage: Eukaryota; Metazoa; Chordata; Mammalia; Rodentia; Caviidae
Description: lncRNA (ENSCPOG00000035887.1)
Source: RNAcentral